GCCUGGGAGGCUCAGUUGGUUAAGCAUCUGACUUUGGCUCAGGUCAUGAUCUCGCAGUUUGUGGGUUCGAGCCCCACAUCUGGCU
This 85-nucleotide transfer RNA is filed under the name Felis catus (domestic cat). It matches the Rfam family "tRNA". Rfam says of the family: Transfer RNA (tRNA) molecules are approximately 80 nucleotides in length. The record is from Rfam by way of RNAcentral. Lineage: Eukaryota; Metazoa; Chordata; Mammalia; Carnivora; Felidae.